CCUACGGGGGGCAGCAGUGAGGAAUAUUGGUCAAUGGACGAGAGUCUGAACCAGCCAAGUAGCGUGAAGGAUGACUGCCCUAUGGGUUGUAAACUUCUUUUAUAUGGGAAUUAAAUGUUCCACGUGUGGGAUUUUGUAUGUACCAUAUGAAUAAGGAUCGGCUAACUCCGUGCCAGCAGCAGCGGUAAUACGGAGGAUCCGAGCGUUAUCCGGAUUUAUUGGGUGUAAGGGGAGCGUAGGUGGAUUGUUAAGUAAGUUGUGAAAGUUUGCGGCGCAACCGUAAAAUUGCAGUUGAAACUGGCAGUCUUGAGUACAGUAGAGGUGGGCGGAAUUCGUGGUGUAGCGGUGAAAUGCUUAGAUAUCACGAAGAACUCCGAUUGCGAAGGCAGUUCACUGGACUGCAACUGACACUGAGGCUCGAAAGUGUGGGUAUCAAACAGGAUUAGAUACCCUUGUAGUC
This 460-nucleotide ribosomal RNA is filed under the name uncultured bacterium. RNAcentral describes it as "partial 16S ribosomal RNA". It matches the Rfam family "Bacterial small subunit ribosomal RNA", at positions 338 to 795 of the family's 1533-position model. The record is from RNAcentral.